GAGGCUGUAGCUCAGUGGUAGAGCGCCCGGCUUUGAGCCGGGAGGUCGGGAGUUCGAUUCUCUUUAGCUUCUCCA
Molecule: transfer RNA, 75 nt
Filed under: Hyphomicrobium zavarzinii
Lineage: Bacteria; Pseudomonadati; Pseudomonadota; Alphaproteobacteria; Hyphomicrobiales; Hyphomicrobiaceae
Also listed under: 1 other name
Description: tRNA-Gln
Rfam family: tRNA
About the family: Transfer RNA (tRNA) molecules are approximately 80 nucleotides in length. Their secondary structure includes four short double-helical elements and three loops (D, anti-codon, and T loops).
Source: RNAcentral